AAAAGCCUCAGCAACAUCCUCACAGUAGAGAUAACUACGAACAUUACAACCAUCCCCGUGAAUAGGAAGAGGCUUUCCCCUCAUGGCUAAAAGUAUAAACUUAGGGAUUAGUUUCUCAGGAAAUUGGUUAGGACCAUAGACAUUGUUACCUCUAGUGGUUAUAACAGGUAACCCAUAUGAUCUACCAUAAGCCAUAACAAGCAUUUCAGCCCCAGCUUUUGUGGCUGAAUAUGGGUUAGUGGGAAGGAGUUGUGAGGCUUCGUGGUUUCCUACAACAGCAUCCUCA
RNAcentral lists this unclassified non-coding RNA (286 nucleotides) under Hevea brasiliensis (rubber tree). Lineage: Eukaryota; Viridiplantae; Streptophyta; Magnoliopsida; Malpighiales; Euphorbiaceae. The record is from RNAcentral.